Molecule: ribosomal RNA, 450 nt
Filed under: uncultured bacterium
Lineage: Bacteria
Description: bacterial SSU rRNA
Rfam family: Bacterial small subunit ribosomal RNA
Source: RNAcentral
AACGAACGCUGGCGGCAGGCCUAACACAUGCAAGUCGAGCGCGCCCUUCGGGGUGAACGGCGGACGGGUGAGUAACGCGUGGGAACGUGCCCUUUGCUACGGAAUAGUCCUGGGAAACUGGGGGUAAUACCGUAUACGCCCUAUUGGGGAAAGAUUUAUCGGCGAAGGAUCGGCCCGCGUUGGAUUAGGUAGUUGGUGGGGUAAUGGCUCACCAAGCCGACGAUCCAUAGCUGGUUUGAGAGGAUGAUCAGCCACACUGGGACUGAGACACGGCCCAGACUCCUACGGGAGGCAGCAGUGGGGAAUCUUAGACAAUGGGGGCAACCCUGAUCUAGCCAUGCCGCGUGAGUGAUGAAGGCCCUAGGGUUGUAAAGCUCUUUCAACUGGGAAGAUAAUGACGGUACCAGCAGAAGAAGCCCCGGCUAACUCCGUGCCAGCAGCCGCGGUAAU